This 107-nucleotide small nuclear RNA is filed under the name Papio anubis (olive baboon). The record is from RNAcentral. Lineage: Eukaryota; Metazoa; Chordata; Mammalia; Primates; Cercopithecidae.
GUGCUCACUUUGGCAGCACAUAUACUAAAAUUGGAACGAUACAGAGAAGAUUAGCAAGGCCCCUGUGCAAAGAUGACAUGCAAAUUCGCGAAGCGUUCCAUAUUUUU